RNAcentral lists this ribosomal RNA (256 nucleotides) under uncultured bacterium. RNAcentral describes it as "partial 16S ribosomal RNA". It matches the Rfam family "Bacterial small subunit ribosomal RNA", at positions 524 to 776 of the family's 1533-position model. The record is from RNAcentral.
UACGUAGGGGGCGAGCGUUGUCCGAAGUUACUGGGCGUAAAGCGCGCGUAGGCGGUUCUUUUAAGUCUGGUGUGAAAGGUUCACGGCUCAACCGGAACAGUGCACUGGAGACUGGGGGACUUGAGUUUGGGAGAGGAAGGCGGAAUUCCUGGUGUAGCGGUGAAAUGCGUAGAUAUCAGGAGGAACACCGAUGGCGAAGGCAGCCUUCUGGCCCAAAAACUGACGCUGAGGUGCGAAAGCGUGGGGAGCGAACGGG